Long non-coding RNA from Drosophila albomicans, 3836 nucleotides. RefSeq lists it as uncharacterized. NCBI's taxonomy places the organism in Eukaryota, Metazoa, Arthropoda, Insecta, Diptera, Drosophilidae. The record is from RefSeq and is a predicted model, not a curated record. The transcript has 2 exons.
GUCACACAGUGGGCGAUAGAUCAGCAAUGCCUUGGCAUUGGUAUUGGUGUAAAAGCACAACACACAACGAGAAGCAGCAGCUUCCUUUACCCACAGUACAUGCAAACACACUCUCUCCCUCUCCCUCGCACUCUAUCUCUUCGAAUACAUGCAAUGCAUUUAUAUACUAGCGUGUGUGUGAGUGUGUGUGCUUAGUUACUUACUCUUUGGCUGAUGCGCUCGCUCUUGCAUUUCGCUUUAUUGCAUAACAUCCUUGAACUUGAACCGAGGCUGAGGCUGAGCUGAGCUGAGCUUUGGGUCGCUUGGCUGCUCGCCUCUGCCUUUCGUCUUUUGCUUCGGCUGACUCAGCGACACACAAACACACGCAUACACGUGAGCUGUAUAUACAUAUACACAUGCAGCUGCUCCUCCUCCUUCGCUCCACCACUAGCAAGUGCUGCAGUCCACUCAAAAAAAAACAAAAAAAAAUUCACCACGCCAUUCGGCUCAGCCACAACGACGACGACAACGACGGCGCCGUUGACGUCGACAUCAGCAGCGAAGCCGACGACGUUGGCCUGUGUCUCUAUCGGUUGCUGCUGUGCUUGGCAUUGAAAGCGCGACAAGCGAGCAGUCAACAACGCAACAUCCCCAGCAGUAAAAUAGCCAAAAACAAAAAACAAAUUCAGCCAAAUAAAAUAGCCAAAAUAUACAACAGAGAAAUCAGUGUGUUCGCAGGAGCAUAAAAAAAAGCCAAUUGCAAUUUUAUAUUAUAGUAAUCAAAAUAAAAAAUGACAUCAACAAUAAGAACAACGCAAUCAAAUUGAAAUUGAAAUUAAAAUUGACAAAACCCGAAAAGCGACUAUAAAACUUAAAAGCAAACAAUAACAAUGCAAAAAUAAUUACAAAUUAAUUGUGCAACAACAACAAUAAUAUAAUUUGAGAAGUGUUCGUCAGAAGUGCGCAGCACAAACAAUCGAAAUACAACAACAACAACAAAAAGAUUGUGCCAACAACAAUAAUGAAUUCCAAUUGUACCUAAAACACACACACACACAUCGAAAAAGUGCAAUUCUUUUGUGUAUUCCCCAAUUUACGGAAGUAACAAACAAGCUAUGAAAAUUUACAACAAAAAAUUCAAAAGAAAAUGCAAAAUGCAAUUUGUGAAAAAUCUCAACAAAAUAAUUAGGUAAAUAUUAUUGCACAUUUACCUACAUAUGUAUUUUAUAGAGAAUAUUACGUGUCAAACAUGUGAUUCCCGUUCUGCUUUUAUACGAAAACCCAGAGAGAGAAAAAAAUCAAGUACAUAAGUGAAAAUGCAAAAAUGAAGGAAAAUUAUUGCAAAUUGCAUCAUCAUCAUCAGCGGAAUCGGAAAACAGCUUAAGGAUGACACGAUAAAUAAGUGUGGCCGAAGCACAGCAGCGUCAGCAUGGAAAUUUAAUUAGCGACAGUCGAGUGAGCCAGCAACGACAACAACAACAAUAAGAACGAUAGCAAACACACACGCCUUCCAAAAAGGCCUGUGAUAUAAAAGUAAACACAAAGCAAAAAAAGCGAAAAAAAAAAAAACAAAAUCAUGCGAGUCGAAGAGGAAGAGGAACAAAAAAAUUUGCCCACUUUCAGUGGCUUUGCCUUAUUCACAUGACGACAGCAAAAAGGUAGCGAAUAGAGCCGACAAAAUGCUAAACAGCAGCAACAACAACAACAACAAUGCAAUUGCACCCAAUGCACCCCUCCCACCGACCGUUGCAUCUGUGUGUGCGAGCGAGUGGACAAACAAAAAUGGCGCAUGACAUGCGCACUGAGCGAACAACUUGAACUUGAAAAAUUUUUAUUGUUGCGCUAGUCUCGGUCGCCUGCUGCUGCUGCUGUUCCAUUUAACUUGACAGCAAGCAGCGACGUCGGCAGCGGCAGCAACAGCAGCAGCAGCACAACGAAGCCGGCAAACCAACACCACAGAGAGAGCGAGAGAGUGACAGCUCAAGAGAAAGAGUUGUUGGGGAAAGAGCGAGCUGCUGUGUCCAAGCUUUGGGCUGCUAGCAGCAGGUAUGGUAUGUAUGUAUGUACAUAUGUAGAGUUAAAGAGAGUGGAGAGGUAAAUAAGCGAUUAUGCAAAGGAAAACAAAAAUGAAAACGAAAUGAGCGCGCUCGCGAGAAAGCUUUUUGGCACACAUAGCUUUUGCGUGGGCGACUUAAGGCGACGUCAGCGUCAACGUCGCUGUCGCUGUCUCUGUCGACGUCUGCCAACUGUUUGCUUUUGUUGUACACUUGAUAUGCCAGCUGCCCCGAAACUUUCUCUUUCAUGGCCCACCCGCCCCACGUGCUUUUCUUGUUGCUGCGUAUGUACGUAUAUAUGUGUGUGUGUAUAUGCUGUUGCAUAUUUACUGGGAUACGAUGACGCGCACCUGUGCGCACACCACACACACACGCACACAGCUGCUGCAGCCAGCCAACACACACACAGGAUGCUGCUGCUACGCUAGGCUGCUUCCUAGCUGCGAUGGUUGGUUUCCUUGUUGCCUGAACAGCGUCAAGUUGUUCAGUGUUGAGCGCACUCCCGGCGAGGUCAGGCCUCUUAAUAAACCAGCAUUGCCACAUAAUUGCUUUUGCAGUCAGUGUGUGUGUGUGUGUAAAGCUAACAUAUGAGUGAUUUAAUUAAGUGACAGAAAUUAACUAAAGUACCACAAAAAAAUAAAACAGCUGAUUAAAUUGUAAUGUGUGGAAGUUGUGGAUUGUGUGUGUGUGUGUGUGUGUGUGUGUGGAUGGUAUCAUGUGACAACUUCGAGUGACGUAUGUUGCCAACAUAUGGCUAACAAAAACUUUCAAUAAUGAAUAUAGUGCACACACACACACAUAGGCAAAUUGCUGCGCCUUAGCAUAUGCAACACAUUUUUUGACUUGUUUUUAUUACGCUUGUGACCUUUCGAUAGACAACACACACACACAUACACAUGCAAACACACAUACGUACGCAACAAAAAGCACAAAGAGAUGCGAUGCGUAAGCAAGCGUCAAGUUAUUUAUAUAUGUGUGUAUAUAAAAUACAUACCCACAACAUAUAGAAUACCAAGUCAAAGGGCAACUGGCAAAGGGCAAAUAUAAUAGAGAUGCAAAUAUUUUAAUAUUGCAUAAAUUAAUCUUGAAUUUAAAUUGCUUGUGAAAUACGCGAAUUGCAAGUGAAACGAAAUGAAAAGAAAAAAAAAGUGCAAUGCAAGAGAGAAACGAAAUCCAAGUGCAAGGUGACGACUGCAAUACAACAACAAUAAUAACAACAACAACAAAACGCAGCACAAAUUGUAUUGUAUGUAUAAGGUUGUCAAAAAAGUCUUGCGGUAUUUGUAUUGAAUUUUCAAUUGUUCAUCAAAUUGUUAAUAAUAAUAAUGCGAUUUAAGUCAAAUGUGCGGAAAUACCGCAAGACUUUUUGGACCACCUUUUAUGUAGCAGAAGCAUUGCCAGCUGGUUCGUGUCUACGCUAAGCUUUCGCUGAAAGCUCUCUCUUUCUGUGCCAUUGACACUGGGAUACACCCUGUGCUCGCUUUGAAAUUUGUGCAAACAAGUGAACACAGCUGGUGGUAUCCAGUGGCCGUUGGCAUCUAAGCAGCAUAAGAAACAACAACAACGACAACGAAGAGAACACAGGGUGAGUAGUGUUUAUUUUAUAAUUGAAAUGACUUAAUUUAUUUUGCAAGUCCAAUUUUCAAUUUAAUUUUGUUGUCUCGUAUGAUUUGAACCUUUUCUUUCAAAUAUCAUUUGAACCAUACUAAAUAUUUAUUAUUCUAGCCAUAAGCUUUGUUUAACAAUUUUUCAUUUAUCUACCCAAAAAUAAAAAAAAAAGAACGUUAAUUGAAAUCUUAAAAU